This 443-nucleotide ribosomal RNA is filed under the name uncultured Hyphomicrobium sp. RNAcentral describes it as "bacterial SSU rRNA". It matches the Rfam family "Bacterial small subunit ribosomal RNA", at positions 335 to 795 of the family's 1533-position model. Lineage: Bacteria; Pseudomonadati; Pseudomonadota; Alphaproteobacteria; Hyphomicrobiales; Hyphomicrobiaceae. The record is from RNAcentral.
UGACCUACGGGUGGCUGCAGUGGGGAAUCUUGGACAAUGGGCGCAAGCCUGAUCCAGCCAUGCCGCGUGAGUGACGAAGGCCUUAGGGUUGUAAAGCUCUUUUGGCGGGGACGAUAAUGACGGUACCCGCAGAAUAAGCCCCGGCUAACUUCGUGCCAGCAGCCGCGGUAAUACGAAGGGGGCUAGCGUUGUUCGGAAUUACUGGGCGUAAAGCGCACGUAGGCGGAUUUGUAAGUCAGGGGUGAAAUCCCGGGGCUCAACCUCGGAACUGCCUUUGAUACUGCAAAUCUUGAGUCCGAUAGAGGUGAGUGGAAUUCCUAGUGUAGAGGUGAAAUUCGUAGAUAUUAGGAAGAACACCAGUGGCGAAGGCGGCUCACUGGAUCGGUACUGACGCUGAGGUGCGAAAGCGUGGGGAGCAAACAGGAUUAGAUACCCCAGUAGUC